Molecule: long non-coding RNA, 2008 nt
Organism: Pomacea canaliculata
Lineage: Eukaryota; Metazoa; Mollusca; Gastropoda; Architaenioglossa; Ampullariidae
Exons: 3
Source: RefSeq, a predicted model, not a curated record
GCUUCUUACAACCUUGCUUGUUCUUUUCGUAUUCCCUUUUAUCAUUUGGUAAUUUUAAUAAUCUUGUUGUUGAUUAAUAAUUUCUUGAAUAUACUAAAUUGCGUGUUGUUAUUUGUGGUAAUGCAUGCUGAGGGUUCAGCAAGCUAAUUAAAAAGUGUAGAUCAGCAAUUUAGUAUAGGCGCAUGCGGGAAAUGUCGACUUGAUUUGGUGGGAGUAUCGACGGUGUGUUAGACCGGGUGUCAGAAAUCAUACCCCUACCCAAUCUACGGACUCCUGCCCCAGAGUUUACGACAAUAUUACAUAUUUGCAUUAUCGAAAAUGAAUUGUCUGUUUAUGUUUCACACUAAAGUUCCUAAAAUUGUUAAUGAUACACACUGAUGAGGGUGAAUAGCAGCAAACGUUUGUAUGCACGGAGAAGCUGUUUGGCCUUGCUGGUGGCCUUUAAAGUUGUCGGUGCUGUCGGAGGUGAGUAACUCGCUACUCGCCAUGAAAUAUGGCGGCCUUCCCUGUGUUCAGCCAGCUGGUGUAACUGACCUUUUAGUGGUGUGGUGGCUUGAGCACCUUGUCGAUCCACAAUGAGUGAGAGUAGACAGUGAAACACAGAUAUCUCCGUCCUCUGUCAAGAAAGGUCCUGUAAACUAGGAGACUUUGUGUGACAAGCUUCUGAGAGACUUGCUCACCUCCAUCUGUAGGUUGUAAUUUGUUGCCCCACACAACACCUUUGUCUGACUCCUCCUAGAGCGUGCGUUUGUGUGUGUGAGAGAGAGAGGAGAGAUAGAAAAGUAAAAAAAAAAAAAAAAAAAGCAGCAUAUAAUCUUUCGUUUCUUCCUUAAAACCAGGGCAUCAUCCCCAGUGUCGUGUGCAUUGAUGUAAUCCAGGCUUGACAGGCGCUCACCCGAAAAUCGCCAGGCAUUGUACAGGCAUGUUUCAACUUAGACUGCCAUCACGAGAGGAAAAUUAAUGGCAUACAUUUUUACCCUUCUUGCCUUCCUCCAUUACCGGUCGUCACCGCCAUUGGCGGGAGGCUACAGGCCAAGACGUGAAUGGAUUUCACCCUACAAGUGUUCUUAGUGUGAAUGGAGAGUGUUUUGACAUUGCCCAUUGCCCAUGCGGGGACUUGAAUAGCUCGCGUGUUGUGAUGAUCUAGUCGGCGUUGAAGCAAAUUUUGCUGGUCAGAAUAAAACAUCACAGACAUUGGAGACAUGUAAUAGGGUUAGGCCUGUCAUAACCCUGACGGGGACAGAAAGAUGCAGCGCAUCAUUCCAGCGAGAGAUGAAAUUUCCGGCCACGCCGAUGCUCUCCCUUUCCUGUUGCAGUUGCGUGACUAAGGGAGUUAUGUUCUGAGCCUAACCACACUACAGUGCUGCUGGAUUUGUUUACAGUGAGUAUUAAAACUUCCUGCAGUCAGAUCGCAGUGCACCCCACUGUACACAGUCACACGGGACAGACAAACCCAGAGUGUUACAUAUGGACUUGGGAUACAAAGGUCUUGUAUGUCUAAUGUGAAAGUAGGAGAUUGAGCCGACACUUUGUCAGCCAGGGUCUUCAACACGAUGACCCUCGAGUCCUUGCCCCGACGGAGCAGAACUCGGUCAGGCGCCGGUGCUUCCGGUUCAGAGAUUAAAGGGAUCUGCAGAAGGGUGGAGUAAGACGGAUUCCAGACAUCCAAAAGAGGAUUCGUCAGGGACUAGGUCGCUUCCAAGCGCAGCUGCUACCGAUCUUUUUCGCUCAACAACAACUAUACUAUCUGUGCUGAUAAAGUUCAUUGAAAAAGCAGACUGGUACUCUUGAUAUUUGAUUGGAAUUUUAUUUUGAACGUUUGCUGUUUGGAUGAUGUUUAGUAGGAUGGAUGCUAACUUGAUGUGAAUCACGAAAUGCAGAAACCUUUUACCGACAAGGUUUAUUUUUGGAAACAGCGUCUUUACAUUCUCAGGGUGAGGCUGAUCACAUACAGUGGACCUCCUUUCACAUUCAACAUUGAGUGGAGGUAGCAGAGGAUGGAGCGGGA